GUGUUUUAAAGCAGCCUGGAAAAGAACAGGAGGAUUGCUCACAUUGCUGAAGGUCUCCAGGACAGGACACACUGUCUCUCUCCUGUGCUAGUGUAGGGAUGUGCCACGAACCCUGCAGCACUCAGAUGCUUUCUGGGCACUCAGCCUGUGGUGGAUGAACAAGAGAGGAGUCCCUGCCAGUGGGGUGGAUAAUAGAAAUGUUCUGGACAGUCAGAGUGCUGCUGGAGAUGACAUAUGAGAAGGUCAUAAAGCUCAAGUGGAGAAAUGCUUUCUCAGGAUCCUGAUUCUCAUCUCGGUAAACUGACAUUUCUUCAUGGCAAUGAAUUCCUUCAUUGCUGUCUUCCAUGUUCUGAAUCUGCCAGCAGCAGUGAUGGAGGGAUGCUGGAUGAAGUGAUUCCACUGGAGAAGGGCUCUGUGCUUUGCACAAGCUCAGGGCAAUUCCUGCAGCCUUGUUUACAUCUGGCUUUGUUUCUGGCUCCUUGUUCUUGUCUCGCUCAUGGCUCCCUCCAUCAAACCAUCUCCUUCCGUCAGACGUCGCACCUGCUCUCCUUGCUCUUCAUCAGCAUUAAUGAAACGCCCACCACUACUCCAUUCCUUUGGGCUUUAUUCUUCUUGUCCAUGUAG
Molecule: long non-coding RNA, 624 nt
Filed under: Corvus moneduloides (New Caledonian crow)
Lineage: Eukaryota; Metazoa; Chordata; Aves; Passeriformes; Corvidae
Description: lncRNA (ENSCMUG00000001248.2)
Source: RNAcentral